Molecule: ribosomal RNA, 3510 nt
Filed under: Triticum aestivum (bread wheat)
Lineage: Eukaryota; Viridiplantae; Streptophyta; Magnoliopsida; Poales; Poaceae
Description: partial small subunit ribosomal RNA
Source: RNAcentral
AUGUCUUCCACAAGAAAAGUGAGAAAUGUAAACAAGCGCUAUGCCAAAAUUAAUGAAGAUUGGCCGGAAAAGGAUGCAACAGUUGUACAUAAAAAUAAAGUGCGAAAGAAGAAACUAUCCGACCUUGGUUCUCAGUGGAGCAAAGAUGAGUUGGAGCGCUUCUAUGCAGCUUAUAGAAAAUAUGGAAAAGAUUGGAGGAAGGUGGCUGGUGCCGUCCAUGAUAGAACAUCUGAUAUGGUGGAGGCUCUUUACAACAUGAAUAGGGCAUAUUUGUCUCUUCCAGAGGGAACUGCUACUGCUGCAGGGUUGAUAGCGAUGAUGACUGAUCAUUAUAAUAUUCUGGAUGGGAGUAACAGUGACCAUGAGAGUAACGGUUCACCAAAAACUUCUAGGAAGCCACAGAAGCGUGGCCGUGCAAAGCUUCAGUCUGUGUCGAAGGCAUCUGAUACACGUUACCCUGAUCUAUUGCAAUCUCAGCCUGCUUCAUCGAGCUAUGGAUGCCUUUCUUUGUUGAAGAAGAAACGUUCUGGAGACUUGUUUGUAGGUAACAAGCCCCGUGCUGUUGGAAAAAGGACUCCACGAGUGCCUGUUGCAAGCAUGUACCAGCGAGAUGACAAGAUAGGUGCAUCAAAUAGACAAGCAAAACCAGAUGCUAAUAAUGGUGAUGAUGAAGGUGCUCUAGCUGCUUUAGCUCUGGCAGAGGUCUGUCAAAGAGGCUCACCUCAGGUUUCUCAAACAUCUGGAAGAUCCAGUGGUCAAAUGUUCCUGUCUCCUGGUAAAAGUAUCGACAGAAAAAAUGCAGAUUCAGAGAUGGGGAGUUCAAAGAUGCAUGGAUUUCAAGUAGAGGCUGAUUAUCCGGAAGGUAGCUUAGGAAGCAGGGAAGCAGAGACUGGUGACUAUCCCAAAGAUGCUUCCUAUUUUCUGAAUAACGAAGGUUCUGUGUCUGGCAAGUCUAAGCCAAAAGUUAAGAGGUCACAAAAGAGAAGAAAGAAAGCUGCACACAAACCAGAAAAUCAAUUCGAGGAUGACAGAGAGGCUUGCAGUGGCACCGAAGAAGGGUGUAGUUCCAGAAAGGCCAAGGAUAUAUCAGAUUUGGAUGUAUUUGGAAGUAAAGGUUCAUGGCCAUCUAACAAAUCAAACAAAAGAAGCCGCCAACUAUUUUUUGGUGAUGAAUUGUCAGCUCUCGACGCGUUACAUACAUUAGCUGAUAUCUCUGUGAAUAUUCUACAACCUUCUUCUAUCGCUGAAUCUGAAUCAUCGGCACAGUUCAAGGAUGGAAGCAAAGACAAUGAAUCUGAUGAUAAGCCUAGUGUGCCUGCAGCAGUAUCAUUAUUUGACAAAAAAGAUAAGCCCAGAAAAACAAAAAAGAUCAAAAGGCAGUCAGAAAUUGCAGGCAACGAGGUGGUUACUAGGAAAAAAGCUAGACUUUCUAAAGAUCACCAUCAUGACGGGAGUACUUCUGAAGUAAAGCAGGAUGAUUGUAAAUGUGGUGUUAAAAUGGAGAAAAAGAAAAGAAAGUCUUCCAUAUUGAAGAUCUCCAAAGAUGAGAAGAAUACACUAAAAGAUAGUGAGAAGACCGAGGCUUCUGCUGAAGAAGGGAAGGUAUCUUCUAAUAAAGGUAGGCAUACUCAUGUUAGUCCAGUUUCAAAACAAAACAAGUCCAAAGCACAGGAAAGUUCUCCAGCACAUGCUGAUUUUGGAAAAGAAGCCAUGGAUACGGUGGACACGACAGAAAAUGCAAUAACUCAGCAAUCGGACUCGGCAUCAAAGUCUAAAAGCCGGCGCAAGUUAGGCAUUUUGAAAGCACUUGCUCCAGAGAGCAAGCCUGCUGAGGGCGCUGAUGAUUCGUGCGAUAAUGUUUCCUACCCAGUGAAUAACGUUACGGAACUCAAGGACAAGCUCUCUCACUGCUUAUCUUCACGUUUCCUCCGGAGAUGGUGCAUGUCUGAGUGGUUCUAUAGUGCAAUUGAUUAUCCAUGGUUUGCGAAGAGUGAAUUCGUGGAGUACUUGAAUCAUGUAAAGCUGGGUCAUGUACCAAGGCUGACUCGUGUCGAGUGGGGUGUUAUAAGGAGUUCUCUUGGAAAGCCACGUCGAUUGUCAAAGCAGUUUUUACAAGAGGAGAGGGAAAAGCUUUCUCAGUAUCGCGAGUCAGUCAGACAACACUAUGCUGAACUUCAGUCUGGUGUUCGAGAAGGUCUACCAACUGAUCUUGCUCGGCCCUUAGCAGUUGGGCAGCGCGUUAUAGCCUGUCAUCCCAAAACAAGAGAACUUCAUGAUGGGAGUGUUUUGACUGUCGACCGUAAUCGCUGUCGGGUUCAAUUUGAUCGUCCGGAGCUGGGUGUUGAGUUUGUGAUGGAUAUUGAUUGUAUGCCGUUACACCCACUGGAAAAUUUCCCUGAGUCUCUCAGACGCCAAAAUAUCGUGAAUAAAUAUUACAGCAGCUUCUCAGAAGUAAAGUUCGAGGAUCGGUCCAAAGAGUAUGGUGGUGGAGGUGCACCAAGAUUCAUACCAAAUGGGGAUGCAUUUGAUUCGAUGGCACAGGCCAAAACCACAGCAAACGAGGCUACAGUCGCUGCACAGCAGGCAAUGUACGGCCAGCCAUGUACACUGUCACAGAUUCAGGAAAGGGAAGCAGAUAUAAGGGCUCUUGCUGAACUAUCGCGUGCUCUUGAUAAGAAGGAAGCCUUGCUGGUAGAGUUGAGGCACAUGAACGAAGAAGUGUCUGGAAAGCAAAAGGAUGGGGAAAUUAUUAGAGAUUUGGAGCACUUCAGGAAGCAAUACGCCAUGGUUCUUGUACAGCUGAGAGAUUCGAAUGAUCAUGUGGCUUCAGCCCUGCUUUGUCUGCGGCAACGGAACACAUUUCAUGGGCAGCCAACGCAGUCAUAUCCUAAUAAAUCCACGGAAAAUGGUGGAGCUUUUAACAGAACACCAGACCCAUCUAGUAACCUUUUUGGUUAUAUUAAUCAGGAGUCUGGAUCCCAAGUGAUGGAGAUUAUUGAGACUUCAAGGUCCAAAGCUAAAACGAUGGUUGAUGUCGCUGUUCAGGCAAUGUGCAAAGUAAGUGAAGGAGAGAACGCUUUUGCCAAGAUAGGGGAAGCACUGGACAAUCUGAACCUCCGUGGCACCGGCUCUGGUUCGAGCAUACUAGGCAUAAGGCGGAUACCACCCGAUUCCGGGCAGGCGAAUUCAGAUAACAGCGCCUCGGGCCGCUUCGACCCUGCUGCAGCAACUAAUAACAUUUCCAGUCCAAGAGUAUUGCCCAACGGCAGCGACUCCGAAGCCCAGUUCCCGUCGGAGCUGAUUUCGUCCUGUGUAGCGACCAUCCUGAUGAUACAGAAUUGCACGGAGAAGCAGUAUCACCCUGCGGAAGUGGCGCACAUUCUCGACUCGGCGCUGUCGCGGCUGCAACCGUGCAGCUCGCAGAACGUCCCCAUCUUCAGGGAGAUUGAGAUGUGCAUGGGUAUCAUCAAGAACCAGAUGCUGGCGCUGAUACCCACCCCUAGUGGCUAG